This 468-nucleotide ribosomal RNA is filed under the name uncultured bacterium. RNAcentral describes it as "partial 16S ribosomal RNA". It matches the Rfam family "Bacterial small subunit ribosomal RNA", at positions 28 to 507 of the family's 1533-position model. The record is from RNAcentral.
GACGAACGCUGGCGGCGUGCUUAACACAUGCAAGUCGAACGGAAAGGCCCUGCUUUUGUGGGGUGCUCGAGUGGCGAACGGGUGAGUAACACGUGAGUAACCUGCCCUUGACUUUGGGAUAACUUCAGGAAACUGGGGCUCAUACCGGAUAGGAGCUCCUGCUGCAUGGUGGGGGUUGGAAAGUUUCGGCGGUUGGGGAUGGACUCGCGGCUUAUCAGCUCGUUGGUGGGGUAGUGGCUUACCAAGGCAUUGAAGGGUAGCCGGCCUGACAGGGUGACCGGCCACAUUGGGACUGGAAUACGGCCCAGACGCCUACGGGAGGCAACAGUGGAGAAUAUUGCACAAUGGGCGGAAGCCUGAUGCAGCAACGCCGCGUGCGGGAUGACGGCCUGCGGGUUGUAACCCGCUUUCGCCUGUGACGAAGCGUGAGUGACGGUAAUGGAUAAAGAAGCACCGGCUAACUACGUG